Molecule: long non-coding RNA, 685 nt
Organism: Mustela erminea (ermine)
Lineage: Eukaryota; Metazoa; Chordata; Mammalia; Carnivora; Mustelidae
Exons: 3
Source: RefSeq, a predicted model, not a curated record
GUGGCGGGCGCGGCAGGCGGGUCCAGGUAGGCUCCCGGGAGAGCCUGGCGGGGCGGGAAUCUGGGCGACGAGGGGACCCCGCAGCGCCUCCGUUGUUCUCAGGAGCUUGCUUUUUGGUGACUCCACGAUGCGGACCCAGUAAAGGAAAAGGGAGGACGUCUUGCUUCUGGAGCCAAGGUUCUCUACCGUUGUCCGCUCACGGCCUGAGAAACCCUGGGACGCGUGUCCACGUCCGCAGAGAAAGCCCGUUUGGAAGAAAACUAAGACGGGUCCUAUAUUCCAUCAGGGUCCAAAUUGAGAAGCUCCACCCACCCUGGAAAAUCCCAUCACCACUCUAAACAAGAUUCCUACUAUCUACAGUGGAAAGAUCUGAUCAUCUACAGCACAGGACAUUAAUACCGACUGCCAUGAUGAGAACAUUAAGCUAAUCCCGGACAUGUUUAGUACAGAAGUUAAAGCCUAUGAUUCUGCUCUCAGCUCUGUCACUAACCCACUUCGUGACCUUCCUAGGAAACCACUUACCCUUUCUGUGACUCAGUGUCCCUCAUCUGUAAAACAGGGUUAACACUUCCCAUGAACACUUCACAGGAUUUUGAGUCUCCUCCCAUUGGCCAAACAUGAUUGUUUAAAUCAAAAUAUUUUCUGGUUACUUAUGAAAUAGUUUAGAUAAACAAAAAUGUGCAAA